UAUAUAUAUAUAUAUAUAUAUAUAUGUUUUGAUGUCAUUAUGUAUUGUGAAGGCUCGCCAACAAAAAGUCAGAGAAGAGAAAUUGAGAAGUUUCUGAAAGAGUCUUAUGAUAACCUCUUCAAUCAAGGUUCCUCAAACGGUAUUAUCCUUAUUCGGUUAUUUGUUUAAAGUAUUUUUAGCCAUUUAGGAACUAUUUACUUGUAGAAAUAUGUGUAGUUUUCGAGAAAAAUUUUUCAAAAAAAAUUGAAAGACAGAGAAACUCUUUGAGUUUUCUAUUUAGAAAAUUGAAAAUAAUUUUCCAUUUCUCCAAAAUUUAACUACGAUUUGAAAAAUAACUUUAAGUGUUAUUUGUCAUAAUUUUCCAUUAUAUUAAAAGUCAUGUUCUCGGCCUAUUUUCCACUUUAAAAAGAUGACCUCUCCAUAAUUAAAUUUAGGAAAAAUUGUAAUAUUAUCCUUGUAUUAUGCCAAAAUUAUUUAUUAUAUCUCUUUUUUUAAAAUACAUUAUUUUGUCCUUGUGUUUUUUCCUAUUAUGCAUUAUGGUCCUUCCGCCAAAAAAAAUUCAAUUUUGUGUUCUCUCCCAAACUUAAAUAAAUUAAAAAUGUGGGCGUUUUUUAAAUUUUGACCUCUUAAAAACUGGGCCAUUGAGUUUUUAGUUUCUAGACCUAUUUGUUUCUAAAUCGAAAGUCCUAAUCUACUAAUUAAAACAAUUAAAUUGUCUACCUUUAAAGCCAAAAGCCAAAUGUGGAAAAUAAUAAUAUAUUUUAUUGUAAUUAAUUAAUUUUUAUAGGAUUAAAUUUAGUCAUAUUUUAUUCUUUCUAUUUAAAAUUAUUUAUUAAUUAUUUAUUCUUUUGUAAAAGUCAAAUUUGAAACUGUUUUUUAUUUGAUAUCAAAGUUUUUUAAGCUAUAUUUUUUAUUUUAUUUAAUAAAUAUAUUUAAAAAUAUUAUAUAUAAAAAUCCAGUUGAACCCUCCGAUUCAGCGAAUCCCUAUCUUCAUUGGUUCAUUGACCGGUCUGGUUCUCAGAAUACUGAUAAUAACUAUUACUUGUAUCUAAUAAAUAAUUUUAUUGAAAAUUAUAGAAGCAUUUAUAAUUAUAGAAGUAUUUAUAUUAUAAUUUUUUAUUUUAAAAAAUUUGUACAAAAUGAUAAAAUUUAAAUAAAUCAAUAAUAUAUUUAAAAAUACAAAAUUUUUAUAAUUUUUUAUUUCUUUUCAUUAUAAAAGUUAUCAAUAAUAAAAAAAUUUUAACUUGAUAUAUGAAUUUUUAUUAUUAAUAAGUGAAUAUGUUUUCCAUUUUUUGUUUUUCAUUUUUCUAAAAAAUAAAAAAUAGAAAACAGUUUAAGUAAAUAUAGUCUUCUAUUCUAUUUAGAAACAUAACUUUUUAACUAAUAAAGAAUUUAAUAACAACUGUAAUAUUUGCAGCAAAAAUUUAUUGUCUAUUAUAUUUUCUUUAUCAUGUGUGUAUAUAUAUAUAUAUAUAUAUAUAUAUAUGUCAUUAUAUUUUUAUUAUUAAACUAAUUAUACAACAUAUAAAAAGGUGAAAUUGUAAAUAUUGUCAGAAAAUACUUAAUUACUAUUGGUGUAUAUCCAUGGGUCAUACACAAGCUAGUAGUUAAUUACAUUUUAAAAAACGGUUGAUGUUACAUAAAUUUUUGCAGGAGGUAAAAAGUACAAACAACAGAAAUAUCCAAAAAAGCAAAGAGCUAAAGGCAGUAACAGUUCGGAUGCUGCAGAGUUAGAGCAUGAACUAGUGGAUGUACCUAUUAGUUAUGCAGACCUUUGAUCCAACUUAUAGAACCAGAAGAUGAAAAGGUGCCUAAAUAUUAUUAUUAUUAUAUAUUUAUCUUCCUAAUUAGUAUAAUCUAUGUAUUUACAAGUGAUCCUUGUAUAAUAUACUUUGCUUUAAUGCUACCUAAAUGGAUUAUUAUUAUUAUUUUAUAUUAUAUUAA
Molecule: long non-coding RNA, 1944 nt
Filed under: Jatropha curcas
Lineage: Eukaryota; Viridiplantae; Streptophyta; Magnoliopsida; Malpighiales; Euphorbiaceae
Description: long non-coding RNA (JCUR_LNC001675)
Source: RNAcentral